This 538-nucleotide ribosomal RNA is filed under the name uncultured eukaryote. RNAcentral's name for it is "bacterial SSU rRNA". It matches the Rfam family "Eukaryotic small subunit ribosomal RNA", at positions 14 to 548 of the family's 1831-position model. The record is from RNAcentral.
CUGCCAGUAGUCAUACGCUCGUCUCAAAGACUUACCCAUGCAUGUCUAAGUGCAAGCUCAUGUACUGUGAAUCUGAGAAUGGCUCACUAUAUCAGCCAUAGUUUAUUUUAUAGAUGCCUACUACUUGGAUCACGGUAGUGAUUUUAGAGCUCAUACAUGCAUGAAAGCCCAACUCUUUGGUCGGUCUGUAUUUCUUUGAUAGAAACCAAUGCAAGUUUUCCUUGGUGUUGUGGUGAGUCAUAAUGACUAAGCCCAUCCCAUGGCCUAGUGCAGGGCGAGGAAUCAUUCAAGUUUUUGCCCUAUCAGCUGUCGAUGGUAUGGGUAUUGGCCUUCCAUGUCGCUAACGGGUGACGGAGAACCAGGGUUGGAUUCCGUAGAGGGAGCCUGAGCGAUGGCUACCACUUCCAAUGAAGGCAGCAGGAGCGUAAAUUACCCAAUCGUUAUACGGGGAGGUAGUGUCAAUAAAUAUACAAUAUGGGGCCCAUUGGGUCUCGUAAUCAGAAUGACUACAAUUUAAAUCCCUUAUUCGACGAUCAAG